Molecule: long non-coding RNA, 4737 nt
Organism: Mirounga angustirostris (Northern elephant seal)
Lineage: Eukaryota; Metazoa; Chordata; Mammalia; Carnivora; Phocidae
Exons: 3
Source: RefSeq, a predicted model, not a curated record
GUGGCUUUAGCUAGCCAGGAAGUUCCUCCAGGGACACUGGCCUCCAGCACAUGGGGCAGCUCACAGCUGUGACCUGAGUGAGUUGCUCUUUGAAUCCCCACCUCACAGCCUCCUCUGAGCAGCAGGCUGGGGUUGGGGGAUCUGGGGGAGCCAGGGUCCUAAACCUUCCCUGCAGCCAGGCCAUUCCCAGGCCAGUUUACUUAACCUCUCUGAUCUAUCUCUCAGUAAAAUGGGAAUGACAAUACCUACCUUACGGGGCAGUUGUGAUGAUUACUAGGAUAACACAGAUAAGCUGCAGCACCUGGUCCAAAGUAUGGUGGUUAAAAAAAGUGGUUUGGGACCAUCCCUCCCUCUUUCCAUUCCUAUAGUCUUCCCUUCUCUUUAUCUGACUCCCCUUUCCUAGGAAGCCGCUUUCUUUUUCUCCAUAAUGUUUUACCAAGUAACUUUUUUUUUUUUUUUUUUUUUUUACAUUUUACUUAUUCAUUUUCUAACUUGUCUGAUCCCUAUGUCUGUUUUGAUCACUGGCAUCUCCAUGGGGCCUCCCUACCUUGUGUUGCAGGAAUGCAUGAAUGAAAGUUAAAUGACCUCUACGUUUCUUUCCAGGGACUUUCAAAUGGACAUCAAAUCCAGUUGUUCACCAAAGGCUGUGAUGGGGGGAUUUGGGGCUGAAGUAGAAGGACAGUAUUAAGGACAGAGCUAGACCCAUGGGUGAUUUCACAGACUGAAAGAAUGGGAGCGCUGUCAUUCUAGGGAAGGAGGAGACUCCUUUCAGAGUGACCUGGGUGGGAGGUGGCCGCUGACUCUUAGUAUAGUGAGGGGGUUAAGAGCCCAGACUCUGGAACCAGACCCUCUGGGUUCAAAUCCUAGCUUUACUCCUCACUAUAGGAGUAAAGCCCAAGGUCACAUUGGCUAACAAUAGUACUUAAUCCUCCUGGGAGUUGCUAGGAGGUAUAAAUGAGUUGACCAGUUGUAGAACAGUUCCUUGCUGGGUGAUAUUAGCCCUUAUUAUUGUUUGGUCAAUGCUACCACCUGGUGGACAGCUGGAGCAAGGUUUCCCUGGCCUUGGGCUGGGGCAGCUGGUGGGGGCACCUAAUCAGGGGAGGGAGAAGGCAUCCCAGCGAUCUGACAGAAGUGCGUGUGUGUUGUGUUAACAUUACACAUGCUGAGGUUUAUCGGGAUCCAGCAGGCUCAUCCCUGGCUCAAGGCACCAUGGAAACUGAGAAAGGGCCCAAGGGGGAGGGGGAAAGAAGCUGGGUUGGCCCAGUGCCUUCCUCCUCCUCUCCCUCCCUCCCUCCUUCCUUCCUCUAAGCCUGGCCUGAGCCAACAGGAACCAACUCCAGGGAAGGCGAAGAGAGAGAGAGAGAGAAGAAGAAGAAGAAGGUCACUGCUGACGUCAGGGACAUUCAGUCCUCAAGCGCUACUCGGACACUUGGCUGCACCUUCGCGCCCGGGGUGGCACAGGCAUAGGCAAGAGAGAGGACACCCAACUCAGCGCUGUGUGCGGACAUCUCCUGACUCACUCUCAAGGCACAGAAAUUUCAUCUCUCCCCAGGAUAGAUGUGGGUACAAGUGGGGAGGAGAGUUCUUUGGACUGGAGCAGACAUGCUCCCUUGAAUGGGGCCCGGAGCACCGCCUCUUCACCAUCACUGCCACUCCUGGAGAGUGUCACAUGUGACCCGAGGCCCUGAUCUCCUUCUUCCUGCUGGUGCCACCGUAGAGGGACGCCUGGAGGACUGGGCAUUACCGAAAUCAUCUGGGUUCAAGCCUGAUGAAGAGGCAGGCAGGGCACAGGACUUUCCUCCAAGUAGGCAGGCAACUGCUCUAAGACUCCCUGGGUUUUUGGGUCUCACUAAGCUGUCUUUCCAUGGCUUUGAGCAUGGCCUAAUAGCAUGAUUUGCUACAAUGCUCACUGUGGGCACUGGCAGGUGAUGGGGUUGGUGGUAUACUGUGACUUACAGCUCUGGCUCCUUACGUGAGACCUUUGGUGAAUGACUUAGCUCUGCAGUUCCAGGAAGGCCUUUGGGGCCCUUUCUUUAAGAGCUGGUAUGAGCUACCAGAGUUUCCUGCCUUCUUGAAUUGGUUAUUCUUACACUUGCAUUAUUCACUCUUUGGUUCUCUUGACACUUGACUCAGGAACCUGGAGAAAACAUAUCCUCUGCUUUUUUUGUUUGUUUGUUUUUAAGAUUUAUUUAUUUGACAGAGAGAGAGAGAGUACAAGCAGGGACAGCAGGAGAGGAGAAGCAGGCUCCCUGCUGAGCAGGGAGCUCAAUGUGGGCUCGAUCCCAGGACCCUGGGAUCAUGACCUGAGCCGAAGGUAGAUGCUUAAAUUACUGAGCCACCCAGGGGCCCCUAUCCUCUGCUUUAAGCAGAAUAAACUGCCACAUUUGCCUGAAUGACUAGUUGGAUUCCACUCCAUCUACCUUUACAGUAGUUGCAUUCCAGAUGAAUUUUUUUUUAAGUGUGCAGGCAGCAACUCCCCGUUUCUGCCUGGAAAGCUGUAAGACUUGACCUCCUGGAGAGGAGAGGCAUUUAUCAAAGCCCUAGAGCCUAGGGAAGUGUUCCAGCAGCUGAUAACCUUAUUUCCCUUACCAAUAUCCCUGCCUGUCCUCCUGGCCUUAGCCAGUCAAGGCUGACAUUCCCAGCCGUGCUGUGGGGUCUUGCCUGAGAGCUUCCCACCUCUGUAGAUUUCCACCCUGUGCCAGGAUGGGGGCCCCAGCUCCUGGAACCUCAGUCUCAUCCUGAACUUGAAUUCUUCACUUCCCAGGAUAAGGGUUUGGAUAUGGACUCUUCCUUCCUCCGCCCAUCUUCCUCUCAAACGGAGACAGUGGUUGCCAGCUAUGCACCAAACCCUUUUCCCUUUCUUCCCCAACAUGUAGUUAAACCAUAUUUUCCAACAAACCUCCCUUUGUUGAUUAGUGGGGCCUCAUGACUGAGUUCUAGUCAAUGGAAAUACUUUGAGGCUUGGUCCCAAACACCUCUCUUGUGAUUGUCUCUUCUCUCAUCUGGCAACUGGAUAUCAGCAUCCAGGAUGAUUUUGGAAGUCAUGUGUUAAAGAUGGCAGAGCUUUUGUCAGCCAGAUUCCUGAGUGACUCCUAGAUACCAACAACUGGACUUUAUGUCUCUUCUAUUUAAAAUAUGGGUUACACUGGGCGCCUGGGUGGCUCAGUUGGUUAGGCGACUGCCUUCGGCUCAGGUCAUGAUCCUGGAGUCCCUGGAUCGAGUCCCGCAUCGGGCUCCCUGCUCGGCGGGGAGCCUGCUUCUCUCUCUGGCCCUCCCCCCUCUCAUGCUCUCUCUCUCUAUCUCAUUCUCUCUCUCAAAUAAAUAAAUAAAAUCUUUAAAAAAAAAUAUGGGUUACACUUCAGAGAUGUAAAGAUUUACCUGUCUCAGUAUUUGGCUUUACCACAUCUAAUAAUAAAAUCCUUUGUGAUAUGCCCCCUUGGAGUUCUCAUUCUUUGGUAACACUUCUCAAGUCCUUGGACCUCUUCCUGGGCAUCCUCUGCACCCACUUAGUUUUGAUGGCAUCCUGCCUGUCCCUGAGGCAGCUGCUCAGUUUCCCACUUCUCUCCUUUGCUCAGAGGAGCCUCUGGCUUCUCCCAGAUGAUGACUGCCUCCUCCAGUCUCUAUUCUUCUCCUUCAUGUCAGACCACUCCUCCUCAAAAAUGUGCGCUAGCCAUGUUCUUUUUUUCUCCUUUACCACAGUCUCCUUGCCUGACUUAGUGCCAUCAUCCCGUAGUCCUGCUAGCUGGCUCACGCCCUCCCCUCACCCCAGGUCAGUAUACUCCAGACCCCCGUUUUCCACCAGCGGUUGGGCCUUCUGCAUGCCUCGGCCCACCUGUACCGGGUCGGUUUGUUCUGAUCCCCCAGUGGCCUAUGGCAAUCAUUGCCCUUCUUCCAGACCUCUCUCCCCACUGAGGGCCUUGCCUCCUGUUUCACUGAGGGUGCUGAAGUCCUCUGGCAUGAAUCCCCUCAACCUGCUGUCCUGCUAUGCACUCCCCCUUCUACUCCUUCCUUUUUUGGUAUCAGAGUAGCUGCUGCUGUCUCCAGCGGUGCUCUUGAUCCAUCUCUGAGACCAGAUAGCUGUUCUGCUGGAUGACACCUCUCUCCCUGCUAGAGUUUCAGCCUCUCUCCACUGGCUCCUUCCAAAGCAAUUUAUAAAUAUAGUCAACCCUCUUUCCUUAAAUAACAUCAUCAAUAACAACAACAUUCCUAGAAAGAAUCAUCUAGAUUCACUUUGUCAGUCCCAUCCAUUUUUUCAUUCACCAUAAUCUGGAUUUUGCUCCCACCCGGCAAAGAAGACCCUCACCUUCCUCACUGCCGAAGGCCAAGGCCUGUUUUCAGUCCCCAUCUGUCUUGCCUUCUUUUUAACAUUUGACACUGCUGACCUCUCCCUCUUCAGAAGAGUCACUCCUAUCCUAUCCUUGGUCUCUGGUGGCUUUUGUCCUUUGCCCAACUGCAAGUUCUAUCUAUGACCCCUUCCCUAGCCUUCAUUUCCCCCCCUUCCCCUCCUUUCACUCUGUACUUCCCUCCCAGGGGUUCCAUGUCCAUUUUUAUAUCGAUGAUUUACAGACUGAGGCAGUUGUUCAUCCGUCUCAAGCUCCAGACCACAAUAUCCAGGCUCUUGCUGGUGCUCACCAUGUGGCUGAAGUACCAUGGGCACUUCAAGCUCAGUGCGUGGGAAAUGAAGCUUUUUAUUCACCCCCACCUCAAACCUGCUUCUCUGCACUCCUGGUAAUGCCG